Molecule: ribosomal RNA, 253 nt
Filed under: uncultured bacterium
Lineage: Bacteria
Description: partial 16S ribosomal RNA
Rfam family: Bacterial small subunit ribosomal RNA
Source: RNAcentral
UACGAAGGGGGCUAGCGUUGUUCGGAAUCACUGGGCGUAAAGCGCACGUAGGCGGAUUGUUAAGUCAGGGGUGAAAUCCCGAGGCUCAACCUCGGAACUGCCUUUGAUACUGGCGAUCUAGAGUCCGGGAGAGGUGAGUGGAACUGCGAGUGUAGAGGUGAAAUUCGUAGAUAUUCGCAAGAACACCAGUGGCGAAGGCGGCUCACUGGCCCGGAACUGACGCUGAGGUGCGAAAGCGUGGGGAGCAAACAGG